UCAAUUCAUUACAUUCAAUUACACAUUUCCAUUAUAAUUCCAUCAAGCUUUUCAUAAGCUUUCAAUCCCAAUUCAAUACAUUCAAAUAUCAAACUUCAAUCUUCCACAUUCAUUAUACUUUCUACAUUACAUUACAAUCUUAUAACCAAACCAAUUUAUACAUUUAAUUCCAUUUAAAUUACAAUAACCUAUCCAUAGUAACAAUUUUUAAUUUACAACACUUCCAUUUAAUGGUUCAAUCCAAAAUUACAAAAAUAUUACAAGUUACAGACCAAUUUCCUAUUACAAAAGUUACAUGAAGCAAGAUUAAAUAACGCUUUUUUCAUCCUUCAUGCCAUGCCUAACCUUCAUGUUGCCAAAAGCUUCAAAGCCUACACCAAAUAUGCCACCAUUAGUAAAGACAACCAUAAUCAUAUAAGCAUGAGCAUGUCAUAAAAGCUUUCCAAAACAAGAGAUGUAAUUGCAGCAAUACCAUUUAAUCUACAAUUCCAUACAUUCACAAAUCUCCAUCCACAUUACCAGCAUAAGCAUGAUCCAUUCCAAUCACAAACCAAGCAUCCUAAUAGCAACUUGCAUACAUC
This 581-nucleotide long non-coding RNA is filed under the name Lathyrus oleraceus (garden pea). RNAcentral's name for it is "Pisum sativum (pea) long non-coding RNA (PSAT_LNC023865)". The record is from RNAcentral. Lineage: Eukaryota; Viridiplantae; Streptophyta; Magnoliopsida; Fabales; Fabaceae.